CCUACGGGUGGCAGCAGUGGGGAAUAUUGCACAAUGGGGGAAACCCUGAUGCAGCGACGCCGCGUGAGUGAAGAAGGAAUUCGUUAUGUAAAGCUCUAUCAACAGGGAAGAAAAUGACGGUACCUGAGUAAGAAGCCCCGGCGAACUACGUGCCAGCAGCCGCGGUAAUACGUAGGGGGCAAGCGUUAUCCGGAUUUACUGGGUGUAAAGGGAGCGUAGACGGCAGUGCAAGUCUGGAGUGAAAGGGGGGGGCUCAACCCCCGGACUGCUCUGGAAACUGUACGGCUGGAGUGCAGGAGAGGUAAGUGGAAUUCCUAGUGUAGCGGUGAAAGGCGUAGAUAUUAGGAGGAACACCAGUGGCGAAGGCGGCUUACUGGACUGUAACUGACGUUGAGGCUCGAAAGCGUGGGGAGCAAACAGGAUUAGAUACCCUGUAGUC
This 439-nucleotide ribosomal RNA is filed under the name uncultured bacterium. Its description in RNAcentral is "partial 16S ribosomal RNA". It matches the Rfam family "Bacterial small subunit ribosomal RNA", at positions 338 to 795 of the family's 1533-position model. The record is from RNAcentral.